GAUAAACGCUGGCGGCGCACAUAAGACAUGCAAGUCGAACGAACUUAACCUUUAGUUUACUAAUGGAGCGGUUAGUGGCGGACUGGUGAGUAACACGUAAGCAACCUGCCUAUCAGAGGGGAAUAACAGUUAGAAAUGACUGCUAAUACCGCAUAUGCCUUGAGUAUCGCAUGGUACAAGAGGGAAAGGAGCAAUCCGCUGAUAGAUGGGCUUGCGUCUGAUUAGAUAGUUGGUGGGGUAACGGCCUACCAAGGCUACGAUCAGUAGGGGUUCUGAGAGGAAGGUCCCCCACAUUGGAACUGAGACACGGUCCAAACUCC
Molecule: ribosomal RNA, 320 nt
Filed under: uncultured Oscillospiraceae bacterium
Lineage: Bacteria; Bacillati; Bacillota; Clostridia; Eubacteriales; Oscillospiraceae
Description: bacterial SSU rRNA
Rfam family: Bacterial small subunit ribosomal RNA
Source: RNAcentral